This 426-nucleotide ribosomal RNA is filed under the name uncultured Actinomycetes bacterium. RNAcentral's name for it is "bacterial SSU rRNA". It matches the Rfam family "Bacterial small subunit ribosomal RNA", at positions 233 to 671 of the family's 1533-position model. Lineage: Bacteria; Bacillati; Actinomycetota; Actinomycetes. The record is from RNAcentral.
GCGGCCUAUCAGCUUGUUGGUGAGGUAAUGGCUCACCAAGGCAACGACGGGUAGCCGGCCUGAGAGGGCGACCGGCCACACUGGGACUGAGACACGGCCCAGACUCCUACGGGAGGCAGCAGUGGGGAAUAUUGGGCAAUGGACGCAAGUCUGACCCAGCGACGCCGCGUGCGGGAUGAAGGCCUUCGGGUUGUAAACCGCUUUCAGCAGGGAAGAAGCGAAAGUGACGGUACCUACAGAAGAAGCACCGGCUAACUAUGUGCCAGCAGCCGCGGUAAUACAUAGGGUGCAAGCGUUGUCCGGAAUUAUUGGGCGUAAAGAGCUCGUAGGUGGUUCGAUACGUCGGAUGUGAAAAUCAGGGGCUCAACCCCUGACCUGCAUCCGAUACGGUCGAGCUGGAGUUUGGUAGGGGAGACUGGAAUUCCU